Molecule: unclassified non-coding RNA, 559 nt
Filed under: Hevea brasiliensis (rubber tree)
Lineage: Eukaryota; Viridiplantae; Streptophyta; Magnoliopsida; Malpighiales; Euphorbiaceae
Source: RNAcentral
AUAUAUAUAUAUAUAUAUAUGGUGUGAUAUCUAUGGAACGGUAUAUCUUUAGUUGGAAGACGAAGGCUUUGUUUUAUGGAAGAAACUAAUAUUAUUCUUCCUGAUUUUGUUGUGAAGAUGGAUGUUUUGUUAUGUGAUUUGUAGUUAAAAGGAGUUAUUACUUACAACCAGUUCUAUCUUUGUUCAAUUACUUAAUAAUUUGUUUUUUUGAUCCUUUUAGUUAAAUUAAUGACCAGUCUCAUCUUGUUUGAACUAUUAAUUAUUGGAAUUUCUUGAUAUAUUUAUGGCUUGGCCUAAUGGAAAACAACAGAACAAAACUGUGACAUGCAAUGGAGAAUAUCGUCAACAAUGAGCUACAGAGAAGUAAGAACAGAGCAGGAUCAUGAAUGGCAUCAAUGAGACAUUAAUUUAGAAUAACAUUCCAACAACACUUGAUGAAAAUCACAAUCAAUUGCAAUCCAUAGGCCAUAGAGGAGAGAAAAGCCUUACGUUAUCUAAACCUCUUAGAUACCCGUAAGUCGUUUGCCAGUGAAAAACAAUUACAUCUCCUAGUGACACC